UACGGGAGGCAGCAGUGGGGAAUAUUGGACAAUGGGCGAAAGCCUGAUCCAGCCAUGCCGCGUGUGUGAAGAAGGUCUUCGGAUUGUAAAGCACUUUAAGUUGGGAGGAAGGGCAGUUACCUAAUACGUGAUUGUUUUGACGUUACCGACAGAAUAAGCACCGGCUAACUCUGUGCCAGCAGCCGCGGUAAUA
Molecule: ribosomal RNA, 193 nt
Filed under: uncultured Pseudomonas sp.
Lineage: Bacteria; Pseudomonadati; Pseudomonadota; Gammaproteobacteria; Pseudomonadales; Pseudomonadaceae
Description: partial 16S ribosomal RNA
Rfam family: Bacterial small subunit ribosomal RNA
Source: RNAcentral